GACGAACGCUGGCGGUGUGCUUCACACAUGCAAGUCGAACGAAGUAGCAAUACUUAGUGGCGGACGGGUGAGUAACGCGUAGGAAUCUGCCUUUAGAUGGGGGAUAACUGACCGAAAGGUCAGCUAAUACCGCAUAUGUAUGUGACCCGACAGGGUCGUAUAUGAAAGGAGCAAUCCGUCUAUAGAUGAGCCUGCGUCCGAUUAGCUAGUUGGUAA
Molecule: ribosomal RNA, 216 nt
Filed under: uncultured bacterium
Lineage: Bacteria
Description: partial 16S ribosomal RNA
Rfam family: Bacterial small subunit ribosomal RNA
Source: RNAcentral